Molecule: long non-coding RNA, 268 nt
Organism: Cucurbita maxima (winter squash)
Lineage: Eukaryota; Viridiplantae; Streptophyta; Magnoliopsida; Cucurbitales; Cucurbitaceae
Exons: 2
Source: RefSeq, a predicted model, not a curated record
GGAAAGACUAGGAGAGGGUUUGGGAGAAUCGAGGAGUCAUCGCGAAGAUUCGUCCAGAGUCGAGGGAAGCUGACUUCUUGAAGAAACUUGGCAGAAAUUUAGGAAUCGUUAGAGAACGGUAAGUGAACUUCUAUGGCUCAAAUCUCAUUCUAUGUUGAGGCUAAAAUAACGAAAAAAAAAAAUACCAAGAUGUAGCCCUCAACACGAUCUUGAACUUUGCCGAAGGAACCAAAUCAAUCCGAGCUCCGGUCAAAAGAUAUGAAAAUCG